Molecule: transfer RNA, 78 nt
Filed under: Actinomycetota bacterium
Lineage: Bacteria; Bacillati; Actinomycetota
Description: tRNA-Arg
Rfam family: tRNA
About the family: Transfer RNA (tRNA) molecules are approximately 80 nucleotides in length. Their secondary structure includes four short double-helical elements and three loops (D, anti-codon, and T loops).
Source: RNAcentral
GCCGCAGCGUGUGGCCCGAAUCGAUACCGCAACGGUUUCCUAAACCGUGUGUCGCAGGUUCGAUUCCUGCCGGGGGCA